RNAcentral lists this transfer RNA (85 nucleotides) under Methanocella conradii HZ254. RNAcentral describes it as "tRNA-Leu (TAG) (tRNA-Leu-TAG-1-1)". It matches the Rfam family "tRNA". Rfam says of the family: Transfer RNA (tRNA) molecules are approximately 80 nucleotides in length. Their secondary structure includes four short double-helical elements and three loops (D, anti-codon, and T loops). Lineage: Archaea; Methanobacteriati; Methanobacteriota; Methanomicrobia; Methanocellales; Methanocellaceae. The record is from RNAcentral. RNAcentral also lists the same sequence under 1 other name.
GCGGGGAUUGCCAAGCCAGGUCAAAGGCGCAGGGCUUAGGACCCUGUCUCGUAGGAGUUCGUGCGUUCAAAUCGCACUCCCCGCA